Molecule: ribosomal RNA, 493 nt
Filed under: uncultured bacterium
Lineage: Bacteria
Description: bacterial SSU rRNA
Rfam family: Bacterial small subunit ribosomal RNA
Source: RNAcentral
GAUCAUGGCUCAGGAUGAACGCUGGCGGCGUGCUUAACACAUGCAAGUCGAACGGAGAUGUUUCGCUGAAGCGGUUUACCAAUUCUUGAGACAUCUUAGUGGCGGACGGGUGAGUAACGCGUGGGUAACCUGCCGUAUACAGGGGGGAUAACACUUAGAAAUAGGUGCUAAUACCGCAUAAGCGCACGAGGUCGCAUGACCAUGUGUGAAAAACUCCGGUGGUAUACGAUGGACCCGCGUCUGAUUAGCUAGUUGGUGAGGUAAUGGCUCACCAAGGCGACGAUCAGUAGCCGGCCUGAGAGGGUGAACGGCCACAUUGGGACUGAGACACGGCCCAAACUCCUACGGGAGGCAGCAGUGGGGAAUAUUGCACAAUGGGGGAAACCCUGAUGCAGCGACGCCGCGUGAGUGAAGAAGUAUUUCGGUAUGUAAAGCUCUAUCAGCAAGGAAGAAAAUGACGGUACUUGACUAAGAAGCCCCGGCUAACUACGUG